RNAcentral lists this ribosomal RNA (492 nucleotides) under uncultured bacterium. RNAcentral's name for it is "partial 16S ribosomal RNA". It matches the Rfam family "Bacterial small subunit ribosomal RNA", at positions 33 to 507 of the family's 1533-position model. The record is from RNAcentral.
ACGCUGGCGGCGUGCCUAAUACAUGCCAGUCAAGCGAACAGACGAGGAGCUUGCUCCUCUGACGUUAGCGGCGGACGGGUGAGUAACACGUGGAUAACCUACCUAUAAGACUGGGAUAACUUCGGGAAACCGGAGCUAAUACCGGAUAAUAUAUUGAACCGCAUGGUUCAAUAGUGAAAGACGGUUUUGCUGUCACUUAUAGAUGGAUCCGCGCCGCAUUAGCUAGUUGGUAAGGUAACGGCUUACCAAGGCAACGAUGCGUAGCCGACCUGAGAGGGUGAUCGGCCACACUGGAACUGAGACACGGUCCAGACUCCUACGGGAGGCAGCAGUAGGGAAUCUUCCGCAAUGGGCGAAAGCCUGACGGAGCAACGCCGCGUGAGUGAUGAAGGUCUUCGGAUCGUAAAACUCUGUUAUUAGGGAAGAACAAAUGUGUAAGUAACUAUGCACGUCUUGACGGUACCUAAUCAGAAAGCCACGGCUAACUACGUG